UAAACAUGCAGUCGACGCCCCGCAAGGGGAGUGGCAGACGGGUGAGUAACGCGUGGGAAUCUACCAAGUUCUACGGAACAACACAGGGAAACUUGUGCUAAUACCGUAUACGCCCUACGGGGGAAAGAUUUAUCGGAAUUAGAUGAGCCCGCGUAAGAUUAGCUAGUUGGUGGGGUAAUGGCCUACCAAGGCGACGAUCUUUAGCUGGUCUGAGAGGAUGAUCAGCCACACUGGGACUGAGACACGGCCCAGACUCCUACGGGAGGCAGCAGUGGGGAAUAUUGGACAAUGGGCGCAAGCCUGAUCCAGCCAUGCCGCGUGAGUGAUGAAGGCCUUAGGGUUGUAAAGCUCUUUCAGUAGGGAAGAUAAUGACGGUACCUACAGAAGAAGCCCCGGCUAACUUCGUGCCAGCA
Molecule: ribosomal RNA, 413 nt
Filed under: uncultured bacterium
Lineage: Bacteria
Description: bacterial SSU rRNA
Rfam family: Bacterial small subunit ribosomal RNA
Source: RNAcentral